This 418-nucleotide ribosomal RNA is filed under the name uncultured prokaryote. Its description in RNAcentral is "bacterial SSU rRNA". It matches the Rfam family "Archaeal small subunit ribosomal RNA", at positions 455 to 873 of the family's 1478-position model. The record is from RNAcentral.
GUGUCAGCAGCCGCGGUAACACCAGCCCCUCGAGUGGUGGGGACUAUUAUUUGGCCUAAAGCGUCCGUAGCUGGCUGUAUCCGUCUCCCGGUAAAUCCGGCGUCCUAAGCGUCGGCUCUCGGGUGAUACCAUACAGCUAGAGGGUGGGAUAGGUGAGCGGUAUUUCUGGGGUAGGGGCGAAAUCCUUUGAUCCCAGGAGGACCACCAGUGGCGAAGGCUGCUUACUAGAACACGCCUGACGGUCAGGGACGAAAGCUGGGGCAGCGAACCGGAUUAGAUACCCGGGUAGUCCCAGCUGUAAACGAUGCUAGCUAGGUGUUGGGUCGGCCACGCGCCGCCCCAGUGCCGCAGGGAAGCCGUUAAGCUAGCCGCCUGGGGAGUACGGCCGCAAGGCUGAAACUCAAAUGAAUUGGCGGGG